RNAcentral lists this long non-coding RNA (383 nucleotides) under Camelus dromedarius (Arabian camel). RNAcentral's name for it is "lncRNA (ENSCDRG00005014302.1)". The record is from RNAcentral. Lineage: Eukaryota; Metazoa; Chordata; Mammalia; Artiodactyla; Camelidae.
AUGGGCAGUACCCAGUGAUAUUGGUGGGGAGAGGACGAAAAGAGGAGAAAGGUGGCCCCGCCCAUGCUCCCGCUCCCAACCCUCUGCCGCACUGCAGGUACGAACCAUAAUUGGGGAUCUGAGCUCACAGUGACGUAGCCCUUACGAGACCUAGAGCCGACGCUUGGUUUAUUCUCUCCUCCCAGUUGCGGUCAGGAGUCGUUUGUGGCUGUGCGCCGGCUCGCUGUUGCCUUGAAGGCGGGCAAGUCUUGGGAAGGAGGAAGUCGUAGGAGCUGACCCCGAUCCUUGGCAGGUCUUUAGGUCCGUUGGUACAGCAGAUUUCAAGGCUAAGAGAGGAGGACUGCUUCUGAUCCCUGCAGGAAGAAGCAGGAAAAAAAAAUCUC